Megachile rotundata (alfalfa leafcutting bee) is the source of this 1191-nucleotide long non-coding RNA. RefSeq lists it as uncharacterized. The record is from RefSeq and is a predicted model, not a curated record. NCBI's taxonomy places the organism in Eukaryota, Metazoa, Arthropoda, Insecta, Hymenoptera, Megachilidae.
CAUUGAAAUUGCUCGUAUCCUCUAUAUAAUUAUCUCAGAUAAUUGUUUAUCAUAGUUAAUAUUUAAUGAUCCUAGUAAAUAUAAUGUCUAAAUAAUAGAUAACAUCUUAUUCUUCAAGUUUAUCUCAGCACAUCGUCAUCCUUGCAGGUGGUCUACUCCCAUAAUCCAACAACUGAUGCUGAAUCAACAGUGACUCACUCCACGCACAAACUAAGGAAGCAAUUACAAGAUUUACCGACAUUUACCAAAGGGAAAAGAUAAACAGCAGCGAUUGUUUCGUAACUCGGCAAACAAUGUCAUUUUGGAAUUUCUUCUUUCAAACGAACGGCAAGCAAAAAGGUCAAGGACAAACGUUUAAAUGACUGAUCCAAGGACAAGUUGGAAUUUCACGCUUUAUUUUACCGGUCGCGAGCAAACACGAUGAAUCAUAACUCUACCGGUUAAAGGAACUAGGAUACUUUCGCUUUUCAGUGGCCUAUGCAGUUAUCGUUAAAACGGGAAAAGAAAUCAAUGGAACUGAGAUACUGUAAUCGUUCUGACAAUGAUUACAGAAUAAUACGAUGUUGCGUUGUUAAUGAAUUUUUCAAAGAGUUGCUUUCUUUGGUGUCAUUGUGGAAAGUUUAUGGCUGUCGGGUCGUUAGAAAGCUGUGUGAAGUUGGGCUUGAAGUUCAGCAAGUCUGAUACAAAUUUUUAGUUCUGCAAUUGUAAAUUUCUUGGAGUCUAAGGUUUCAAGUAGCAGCUUCCGUGGGGCAACAGUUACGAGGUGGCCCAUGGAGUUCGAGCAACGGGUCAAACGUGACGUAACAUCCGGACGACUUCUCGCGAGGUGGAAAUGCUCCAAGGGAAUCGACGAAGCGUGCAGACGCCACGCGUCGAUCGCUUCUCGCGUUCUCGCUCAGCGUCUAGCGUUUGCUGUCCCCUCCAGUGCAUUGCCACAUCGCAUUCUCGAAGAAUGAAUCACUAAGAACCUGACGUACAAAUACGCGAAAACGUGCGAUCAACGCACGCCUCUCGCCUGCCUCGAGGAAACAGCCCGGAGGAAAAGAUGCUUUCCCCUGCGAAAGCAUGUAUGUACUCCUUUUAUACCUUCGUGGAGAAAUUCGACCAUGUUGAAAUUGGUGAAAGAAAAUAUUUCUGUUGAUUAUUCUUUGGAGUCAUCAGACUCUUCGGACACUUAUGAUCCUGACGAGA